This 376-nucleotide ribosomal RNA is filed under the name uncultured bacterium. RNAcentral describes it as "bacterial SSU rRNA". It matches the Rfam family "Bacterial small subunit ribosomal RNA", at positions 524 to 898 of the family's 1533-position model. The record is from RNAcentral.
UACGGGGGGUGCAAGCGUUGUUCGGAAUUAUUGGGCGUAAAGAGCGUGUAGGCGGUUGGACAAGUCAGAUGUGAAAGCCCUGGGCUUAACUCAGGAAGUGCAUUUGAAACUGUUCAGCUGGAGUAAGGGAGAGGAAAGUGGAAUUCCUGGUGUAGAGGUGAAAUUCGUAGAUAUCAGGAGGAACACCGGUGGCGAAGGCGACUUUCUGGCCCUAUACUGACGCUGAGACGCGAGAGCGUGGGUAGCAAACAGGAUUAGAUACCCUGGUAGUCCACGCUGUAAACGAUGUUCACUAGGUGUUGGGAGUAUUGACCCUCUCAGUGCCGCAGCUAACGCAUUAAGUGAACCGCCUGGGGAGUACGGUCGCAAGAUUAAA